Molecule: ribosomal RNA, 253 nt
Filed under: uncultured bacterium
Lineage: Bacteria
Description: partial 16S ribosomal RNA
Rfam family: Bacterial small subunit ribosomal RNA
Source: RNAcentral
UACAGAGGGUGCGAGCGUUAAUCGGAAUUACUGGGCGUAAAGCGUGCGUAGACGGUUAUUUAAGUCGGGUGUGAAAGCCCCGGGCUCAACCUGGGAAUUGCAUUCGAGACUGAAUAGCUAGGGUACGGUAGAGGGAAGUGGAAUUUCCGGUGUAGCGGUGAAAUGCGUAGAUAUCGGAAGGAACAUCAGGGGCGAAAGCGACUUCCUGGACCAGUACCGACGUUCAGGCACGAAAGCGUGGGGAGCAAACAGG